UACAGAGGGGGCAAGCGUUAUUCGGAAUUACUGGGCGUAAAGGGCGCGUAGGCGGUUUCUUAAGUCAGAUGUGCAAUCCCCGAGCUCAACUUGGGAACUGCGUCUGAGACUGGAAGGCUAGAGUACUGGAGAGGGUGGUGGAAUUCCUCGUGUAGCGGUGUAAUGCGUAGAGAUGAGGAGGAACACCAGUGGCGAAGGCGGCCACCUGGACAGUAACUGACGCUGAGGCGCGAAAGUGUGGGUAGCAAACAGG
This 253-nucleotide ribosomal RNA is filed under the name uncultured bacterium. RNAcentral describes it as "partial 16S ribosomal RNA". It matches the Rfam family "Bacterial small subunit ribosomal RNA", at positions 524 to 776 of the family's 1533-position model. The record is from RNAcentral.